Molecule: ribosomal RNA, 759 nt
Filed under: uncultured bacterium
Lineage: Bacteria
Description: bacterial SSU rRNA
Rfam family: Bacterial small subunit ribosomal RNA
Source: RNAcentral
AUUGAACGCUGGCGGCAGGCCUAACACAUGCAAGUCGAGCGGUAACAGAGAGUAGCUUGCUACUCUGCUGACGAGCGGCGGACGGGUGAGUAAUGCUUGGGAAUAUGCCUUAUGGUGGGGGACAACAGUUGGAAACGACUGUUAAUACCGCAUGAUGUCUACGGACCAAAGUGGGGGACCUUCGGGCCUCACGCCAUAAGAUUAGCCCAAGUGGGAUUAGCUAGUUGGUGAGGUAAUGGCUCACCAAGGCGACGAUCCCUAGCUGGUUUGAGAGGAUGAUCAGCCACACUGGGACUGAGACACGGCCCAGACUCCUACGGGAGGCAGCAGUGGGGAAUAUUGCACAAUGGGCGCAAGCCUGAUGCAGCCAUGCCGCGUGUGUGAAGAAGGCCUUCGGGUUGUAAAGCACUUUCAGUAAGGAGGAAAGGUUAAGUGUUAAUAGCACUUAGCUGUGACGUUACCUACAGAAGAAGCACCGGCUAACUCCGUGCCAGCAGCCGCGGUAAUACGGAGGGUGCGAGCGUUAAUCGGAAUUACUGGGCGUAAAGCGUACGCAGGCGGUUUGUUAAGCGAGAUGUGAAAGCCCCGGGCUCAACCUGGGAACUGCAUUUCGAACUGGCAAACUAGAGUGUGAUAGAGGGUGGUAGAAUUUCAGGUGUAGCGGUGAAAUGCGUAGAGAUCUGAAGGAAUACCGAUGGCGAAGGCAGCCACCUGGGUCAACACUGACGCUCAUGUACGAAAGCGUGGGGAGCAAACAGG